AGUGAACGCUGGCGGUAGGCCUAACACAUGCAAGUCGAACGGCAGCACAGUAAGAGCUUGCUCUUACGGGUGGCGAGUGGCGGACGGGUGAGGAAUACAUCGGAAUCUACUUUUUCGUGGGGGAUAACGUAGGGAAACUUACGCUAAUACCGCAUACGACCUACGGGUGAAAGCAGGGGAUCUUCGGACCUUGCGCGAUUGAAUGAGCCGAUGUCGGAUUAGCUAGUUGGCGGGGUAAAGGCCCACCAAGGCGACGAUCCGUAGCUGGUCUGAGAGGAUGAUCAGCGACACUGGAACUGAGACACGGUCCAGGCUCCUACGAGAGGCAGCAGUGGGGAAUAUUGGACAAUGGGCGCAAGCCUGAUCCAGCCAUACCGCGUGGGUGGAGAAGGCCUUCGGGUUGUAAAGCCCUUUUGUUGGGAAAGAAAAGCAGCAGGUUAACACCCCGCUGUUCUGACGGUACCCAAAGAAUAAGCACCGGCUAACUUCGUG
RNAcentral lists this ribosomal RNA (492 nucleotides) under uncultured bacterium. RNAcentral's name for it is "partial 16S ribosomal RNA". It matches the Rfam family "Bacterial small subunit ribosomal RNA", at positions 29 to 507 of the family's 1533-position model. The record is from RNAcentral.